Molecule: long non-coding RNA, 172 nt
Organism: Homo sapiens (human)
Lineage: Eukaryota; Metazoa; Chordata; Mammalia; Primates; Hominidae
Source: Ensembl
GGCACUUUUCAGAACAUCAAAUUCCUAAUGAAGAAGAGGAGAAGAUAAUGGGGAAAUUUGACAUUUGAUAUAAAUUUAUAUUUGUUAUGUGUAUGUUUGUUAAUGCAACUGGAAUAUUUGACUUAGACCCAUUCCAAUAUGCUGUGAUACACGACACGGUGCACCGCAGAGG